RNAcentral lists this ribosomal RNA (244 nucleotides) under uncultured bacterium. RNAcentral describes it as "partial 16S ribosomal RNA". It matches the Rfam family "Bacterial small subunit ribosomal RNA", at positions 15 to 252 of the family's 1533-position model. The record is from RNAcentral.
GAUCAUGGCUCAGGAUAAACGCUGGCGGCGCGCCUAACACAUGCAAGUCGAACGGAGCUGAGAGGAGCUUGCUUUUCUUAGCUUAGUGGCGAACGGGUGAGUAACGCGUGAGUAACCUGCCCUGGAGUGGGGGACAACAGUUGGAAACGACUGCUAAUACCGCAUAAGCCCACGGUAUCGCAUGGUACUGAGGGAAAAGGAUUUAUUCGCUUCAGGAUGGACUCGCGUCCAAUUAGCUAGUUGG